GGGUAUAGCUCAGUUGGUAGAGCGGCGGUCUCCAAAACCGCAGGUCGAGGGUUCGAAUCCUUCUGCCC
This 68-nucleotide transfer RNA is filed under the name marine eukaryotic metagenome. It matches the Rfam family "tRNA". Rfam says of the family: Transfer RNA (tRNA) molecules are approximately 80 nucleotides in length. The record is from RNAcentral.